RNAcentral lists this ribosomal RNA (1596 nucleotides) under Triticum aestivum (bread wheat). RNAcentral describes it as "partial small subunit ribosomal RNA". Lineage: Eukaryota; Viridiplantae; Streptophyta; Magnoliopsida; Poales; Poaceae. The record is from RNAcentral.
AUGACACUGAUCCAGUGGAACGCCUCGAAAACAUGCGAAGAGAACCCUUCAUUGCACCCGCAUCAUCACCAGUUGCGACGAGGAUGCCGAUGUUGUCGUGCGGUGACAUCAAGAUGGGAGGCAUGGUGGAGGAGCUCAGGGUGUGGCAUGGGGGAGGCCGAGCCUAUAGCGAAGCCACAUGGAUACGUAGCUGAAGGCCUGAACGAAAGCACGAGGAGAAUGAUGGUGACGCCGUGGGCGAGGGAGGCAUGGAGGGAUGAUGCAGUGACGGGCGUAAGAAGAAGGACGGCGACGCUGUGGGCGCGGCCUGACGAUGCCAUGGCGGGAAGCACUCCAACGAGCACAAUGAGAAUGACGGUGGCACUAUGGGCGCAGCACAGUGAUGAAACCGUGGUGGGAGGGGGCAUAUUUGCGGGAUGGGGAGAGAAUGGAGGAAAGAAGAUAGCAUGGCAGCGAGCCGCCCCGCCGGACCACCUGCUGCGUGCAUGGAAACGCAUAGCCACAAGCGCGUCGUCGCCAGCACCCCCUCCUCCUCCCCCCCUCGGCCUCCACCUCCAAGCGCGCCUGCACUGCCCCCUACCCCGGACCGCCCGCAAUGGACCCGUCCCCAUCCUCCGCAGGCUGGGCGCCGGGCUCGACGACCUGCUCCCGGGCUCCGCCGCAGCGGCCGCGGCCUCCUCCACCACCUCCGCACAGCUUAAGCGGAUCCUAGCCGGGCUGCAGGCCGAGGGCGACAAGUCGCGCCAACCUCGUCGCCGUGCUGCCGUCUGCCUGCUCCUCCGUCAAGUACAUGGACCUCCCCGCCAUGGCCAUGGCGCCAUGAGCCCCGAAUCGAGCUAUGUUCCGCCGUGGGACCUGCAUGCCUCACUGCCCCAUCUCCAUUUUCCUGCGGAUUCGGCAAGAUCCGCCAAGGAAUCGUCACCAAUGGCGCUGGCGAGCUCAUUCUCGUUCUCUCGUCCGACGAGGAGGAUUUGGUCAGCUCCGGCUACGAAUCCUUUGGCUCCGACGAGCUCAUCCUCCUACACGGUGUUUCUGCACGCGAGCACAUAUGAGCUCUUUAUCGACACGGUUGAACGAUGCCUUGGGAUGCGGAAAGAACGGAGAACCGACCGCCGUCAGCCUGCGGGAGGCGAGCCGUGGCUCAAGACGUUCGUCUACGUUCUGAUCCUUGGAACAGGAGAAACACUUUCCGGUUGUUCUUGGCCUAGAGGCAGUAACUACGAGGUGGAGGGUUGGCAGUGCUCUGCUUCCUGCAACCACUCCAUCAUCAGCGAGGUCGGGCCUCCUGGGAUCUCAGCCACCGUGCGACGGGACCAUCACAGAAGAGGAGAUGGAAUUUCUGAUGCAGCAAUUAAAAGAUUCAUGGUGCUUGAGGAGGUCAAGCAUAGCGAUGUCCCGAUGGCGCCCCUUCAUUACCCCCUCGUUGCCGCUGCAUCGGGCGAGCCGCAGCACGCACCGGCCCCAGAGCUGAGCAUGGACGGACAAAUCUUUUGGCGGGUGUGGCCUCAUAAAAAGGAUGUGCCUGUUGAAGAAAUGGACUUGCCUUUCAUCCAUGUCCCGACGUGCAUGCCGAUCAGAUACACAGAGCCCCUGUAA